Trichonephila clavata is the source of this 73-nucleotide non-coding RNA. Lineage: Eukaryota; Metazoa; Arthropoda; Arachnida; Araneae; Nephilidae. The record is from the annotation of a GenBank genome assembly.
GUUCCUGUAGAGCAACAAAUAGCAUGUUGGAUUUCUAAUCCAAAGGUCGUGGGUUCAAAUUACACCUGGGAUG